Molecule: ribosomal RNA, 305 nt
Filed under: uncultured bacterium
Lineage: Bacteria
Description: bacterial SSU rRNA
Rfam family: Bacterial small subunit ribosomal RNA
Source: RNAcentral
UUUUCCUACGGGAGGCAGCAGUGGGGAAUAUUGCACAAUGGGGGAAACCCUGAUGCAGCAACGCCGCGUGAGUGAAGAAGUAUUUCGGUAUGUAAAGCUCUAUCAGCAGGGAAGAAAAUGACAGUACCUGACUAAGAAGCCCCGGCUAACUACGUGCCAGCAGCCGCGGUAAUACGUAGGGGGCAAGCGUUAUCCGGAUUUACUGGGUGUAAAGGGGGCGUAGACGGCUGCGCAAGUCAGAAGUGAAAGCCCGGGGCUCAACCCGUGAACUGCAUGUGAAACUGUUUCCCUUGAGUGUCGGAGAG